RNAcentral lists this ribosomal RNA (468 nucleotides) under uncultured bacterium. Its description in RNAcentral is "partial 16S ribosomal RNA". It matches the Rfam family "Bacterial small subunit ribosomal RNA", at positions 28 to 507 of the family's 1533-position model. The record is from RNAcentral.
GACGAACGCUGGCGGCGUGCUUAACACAUGCAAGUCGAACGGAAAGGCCAUGCCUUUGUGGGGUACUCGAGUGGCGAACGGGUGAGUAACACGUGAGUAACCUGCCCUUGACUUUGGGAUAACUUUAGGAAACUGGGGCUAAUACCGGAUAGGAGCUCCUGCUGCAUGGUGGGGGUUGGAAAGUUUCGGCGGUUGGGGAUGGACUCGCGGCUUAUCAGCUUGUUGGUGGGGUAGUGGCAUACCAAGGCGUUGACGGGUAGCCGGCCUGAGAGGGUGACCGGCCACAUUGGGACUGAGAUACGGCCCAGACUCCUACGGGAGGCAGCAGUGGGGAAUAUUGCACAAUGGGCGGAAGCCUGAUGCAGCAACGCCGCGUGCGGGAUGACGGCCUUCGGGUUGUAAACCGCUUUCGCCUGUGACGAAGCGUGAGUGACGGUAAUGGGUAAAGAAGCACCGGCUAACUACGUG